This 910-nucleotide ribosomal RNA is filed under the name uncultured bacterium. RNAcentral's name for it is "bacterial SSU rRNA". It matches the Rfam family "Bacterial small subunit ribosomal RNA", at positions 33 to 927 of the family's 1533-position model. The record is from RNAcentral.
ACGCUGGCGGCGUGCCUAAUACAUGCAAGUAGAACGCUGAAGGAGGAGCUUGCUUCUCUGGAUGAGUUGCGAACGGGUGAGUAACGCGUAGGUAACCUGCCUGGUAGCGGGGGAUAACUAUUGGAAACGAUAGCUAAUACCGCAUAACAGUAGAUGUUGCAUGACAUUUGCUUAAAAGGUGCAAUUGCAUCACUACCAGAUGGACCUGCGUUGUAUUAGCUAGUUGGUGGGGUAACGGCUCACCAAGGCGACGAUACAUAGCCGGCCUGAGAGGGUGAUCGGCCACACUGGGACUGAGACACGGCCCAGACUCCUACGGGAGGCAGCAGUAGGGAAUCUUCGGCAAUGGACGGAAGUCUGACCGAGCAACGCCGCGUGAGUGAAGAAGGUUUUCGGAUCGUAAAGCUCUGUUGUAAGAGAAGAACGAGUGUGAGAGUGGAAAGUUCACACUGUGACGGUAUCUUACUAGAAAGGGACGGCUAACUACGUGCCAGCAGCCGCGGUAAUACGUAGGUCCCGAGCGUUGUCCGGAUUUAUUGGGCGUAAAGCGAGCGCAGGCGGUUAGAUAAGUCUGAAGUUAAAGGCUGUGGCUUAACCAUAGUACGCUUUGGAAACUGUUUAACUUGAGUGCAAGAGGGGAGAGUGGAAUUCCAUGUGUAGCGGUGAAAUGCGUAGAUAUAUGGAGGAACGCCGGUGGCGAAAGCGGCUCUCUGGCUUGUAACUGACGCUGAGGCUCGAAAGCGUGGGGUGCAAACAGGAUUAGAUACCCUGGUAGUCCACGCCGUAAACGAUGAGUGCUAGGUGUUAGACCCUUUCCGGGGUUUAGUGCCGCAGCUAACGCAUUAAGCACUCCGCCUGGGGAGUACGACCGCAAGGUUGAAACUCAAAGGAAUUGACGGGGGCCCGCACA